UUAGAAUCUCUCUUAGGGAUAUAUGCUUUUCUAAUUCAGUACCAAGGCUGAUAAAUCAAAGGAUUUUCUUGUUCGUGGGCUGAGCUCCGGGAGGAUUGUAUACGAAUUUACAUUCCUAAAGCAUGAUCCAAUCAUGAGCAUAACUGAGGCAUGAAAUUUUCAAUUGAUGAGCAGGCCAGCUUCAAUGUAGGCGUGGAUCUUCACUUACUGCGGUGAUCACUGCAUCAAUUGGCCAUGAAUUGGGCCUUAAUCGCAAAACUUCCAGAUGUAUAGACAAAAUUGAGGAGGAAUUGGAAAACAAGAUCAGACUAUGCUCUGGUAGUUCAAAUCGAUUCCUUGCUUGAGAUUCACUGUGCAAGUAAAACUUCUAGGUAGCCUCUGGAGUUGUCUGGAAUCUUACGCUUUCUUCAAUUCGUGGAGUUGACUGUAUGAUUCUUCUCAUCUCAGGAAAUCUUGAAUCCUUGGGACUUGUUGAAUUAGGUGAGGCUAUGGUUCUAAAGCUUUUGGCUAGCAAAGAAGGAAUGGAGUUUAGCUUGUUGAAAUUUGGUUGGAGAAUUUCUGAAGCCGAGAACAUUACUGGGAAUGCUUGGGGAGUAGAAAUUAAGGAUCUAAAUAAAUAAUCAGGAACUUCUUAUCCGGCAAAUCCCUCACACUCAGGGAUGGAUAAAAUCAGUGAAAAUUUUGGCUUUCGCAGAUGCAUUGGCUUGAGAAAAGCUUGUAAUACAAAUUUUGGUUUGACUUCAAACAUAUCCCUAUUUUGUUACUGCAAUGAAAAAUUGUACUAUGUAGGAAAAGUUGGUUUAAUAAAGGCUUGAAAUAGUUAGUUUGAUUUGAUAUCAAGCUUAAUUUA
Molecule: long non-coding RNA, 850 nt
Organism: Rosa rugosa (rugosa rose)
Lineage: Eukaryota; Viridiplantae; Streptophyta; Magnoliopsida; Rosales; Rosaceae
Exons: 4
Source: RefSeq, a predicted model, not a curated record